RNAcentral lists this long non-coding RNA (2274 nucleotides) under Cricetulus griseus (Chinese hamster). RNAcentral describes it as "lncRNA (ENSCGRG00000024551.1)". The record is from RNAcentral. Lineage: Eukaryota; Metazoa; Chordata; Mammalia; Rodentia; Cricetidae.
UGAUGAACUUCUUCAGUGUUCAGGACAUGGCCUCUCGCUAGACUUCAGAGCUACAGCUGGGAAAGUACCGGGAAGGCUUGGACACGGAUGCAGCACCUGUCUCCUAUAUCCCAAACUACCAUUCAGUUCUCCAGGACUGCUUGCCAUCAAGGAAGCACAUGACAUAGAGACCAGGCUCAAUGAGGUCGAGAAGCUGCUGGAGACUGUUAUCAGCAUGCCAUGUAAGGUGAGCAAGACGUCUGGGGGGGCAGGGAGGCCAGAGUGGCCAUCACCACCCAGACUUAAAGACAGCUCCCUGUAUCUCACUCACUGUUUCACUGGCAGACAAUCAAGGGAAGGAAGACUUCUGUGGGCUCUGCUAGGUUCUUUCAAGUCAUGUGGUGUGAGGCAGGAGGGAACAGGCUUUCUACAGAAGUGGCAGGCUUUGCUUUCUUCCCUUGCCUCAGAACCCAUUCUUCUUGCUUAGGUUUAACAGGCGCCAGGAAGCCAGGGGCUGUGUCAGCAUCAUUGGCAGCUACAGUGUUCAGUUCCGUCUCCCUGGAACUCACAGUGUUCAGUUCCAUCUCCCUGGAGCUCACAGACUGAGUCUGUGAGCUUGAUGUGGGGAACUAAGAACCUGGAGGGUCAGGCGGAACUCCUUAGCACUAUUGUCCCCCUUGGUGAAUGACUGAAGUAGAAGCGACCCAGCAGGUAGUAAGGAAGGGAGCUGGGUGUGAUAUACCAGCUGUGUGCAAAGCAUUCCACAGAGCCACCCACCCUAGCCGGAGGCCUCGCCUGUUAGCCACUUGUAAACAAAGAAGCUGCAAUGAUCCACUCACUGGACACAGUCCAUCAGCUCCUGCCCAGGCCCCAGGGCUGCCUUCUGAGCAUCAUGUCAGUUGGGGUUACCUCUGUGCACAAACACCAGCAUCCCUGUGGAACCUACUAUGGAGAGCUUUUCAGCCUCGGUAAUGACUGUGUUUAUCCCCAGUAUUCUAGGUCAGAGGUUGUACUCACCUUCUUUGAAAGAUCGCCUCUGGAUCAGGUGUUAAAAAAUGAUAAUGUCCAUAAAAUUCAACCCAGCUUUCAAAGUCCUGUCAAAAUAUCAGAAAUCAUGAGGUCCAAUGGAUUUUGUUUGGCAAACACAGAAACAAUAGUUAUUGACCACAGCAUACCCAACGGGAAGGACCAGCUCCUGGACGCAGACUCCACUGAGCAUUUGUUUGAGAAUGGUGGCGAGUUCACCCCAGAGCUGGAGGAUGGCGAUGACCCGACAGCUUACGUCACCAACUUGUCCUAUUACCAUCUGGUUCCAUUUGAGACAGACAUUUUGGACUGAGCCUCUCCAUCAGGCCUUCUCUGCCUCAGUCCUUGACUGCAUGUCCUCAUGCUGCCCCACUGAGUGGUCCCAAGGGCCAAAGCUGCUGCUCAGCCUGGGCCUCCCAGGGUCCUGAGGUUCACCCGGCCUGGAUGUCCUGAAAGCGGAGGCUCAGGGCCUCUUGAUGUCCAUGGGCUAUCCCCGGGCUGACUCCAGCAACAGGAAGCCACAUGUCCUGCAGCCCUGAGGGGCCUCUUACUUGCACUCAGCCCCACCAGCCUGCCUCUUCUCCUGGGAGGCACUGUUCCUGUGGGCCAUGCUUCCUCUUGUUCUUACUGCCUUCUUGAGGGGAGCAUUCUCCUUGAUCACAUGCCCGGAGUUCCCAUGUUUUCCUCAUGUGUCAAAGGUGUGAAGCAUUUCAAGAGGGUAUUUGAUACGUCACCAAGGUCUGGAUCACAAGGGCAGGGGAUAUUGAGUGACUCAGGGCUUCCCUGAGACGUGUGGCUUUACAUCACCUCCCUGGAAAUGGGGUCUGGGGUCAGCUGGAAAGAGUGUUUACACAAUGUCAAGCCUAGAGGGAAGUGCUGGCUUCAGAGAGAGGAAAGCAUCCUCGGUGAUGCGCAUAUGAACCCAGUUCGAAGUUUUCCUCCCUCCUCUCUGCCAGCAUCUGAGCUCCUCUGCCAGGCUGUGAUACUGUUACCACCACCAAGGGUGCUAGAAGUUCCUUCCCCCGGUGCACUCAAUGGUAGAAUUGCCAUCAUGAAUCAGAAAGGAAGGGAUGGGAGGAAGAGACGCUUACAGCUUGGACCACAGGAAGGUCUGGGUCCUGCGAGCUCAUCUCCUCACUGUGUCUACUAACGACCAACACUUGCUAAUGUAAAUAAUAGUAAAUUAUUGAAAAUUCUAAUUCUUUUACACACUGUUUUUAAUCUAUUUUAAUUAAAUAAAACCUAUUGCUCUACUUUGAUCUAGUGGGG